UCUCUUAUGUUUCGAAGUGCAUUUGGGGGCAGUUUAUUAGCUUUUAUAAGGGGAAAAUUCUGAGGAUCAAGGCAUGCUAGAUCGGCAAUUCCCCGUGCUGAAGGAAGUAGACGCAUUCGGGUAUAGAAUGUGUUACGUUUAAUUAUGUGUCGGAUGGUGCGGGUACGCAAGCCAAGUCAGGAGGUGGUGGUACGUGGGGGGGAAAGUUUGGGAACCGCUGGCCUAGG
Molecule: long non-coding RNA, 227 nt
Organism: Alosa sapidissima (American shad)
Lineage: Eukaryota; Metazoa; Chordata; Actinopteri; Clupeiformes; Clupeidae
Exons: 3
Source: RefSeq, a predicted model, not a curated record